Stegodyphus mimosarum is the source of this 73-nucleotide non-coding RNA. The record is from Rfam. NCBI's taxonomy places the organism in Eukaryota, Metazoa, Arthropoda, Arachnida, Araneae, Eresidae.
GCUUUCGUGGUGUAGUGGUCAGCGCGCUCGACGUGUAACCGAGAGGUCCGUGGUUCGAUUCCCGGCGAAGGCG